Molecule: ribosomal RNA, 253 nt
Filed under: uncultured bacterium
Lineage: Bacteria
Description: partial 16S ribosomal RNA
Rfam family: Bacterial small subunit ribosomal RNA
Source: RNAcentral
UACGUAGGGGGCAAUCGUUGUCCGGAUUUAUUGGGCGUAAAGAGCGUGUAGGCGGUUCGGUAGGUCCGUUGUGAAAACUCGAGGCUCAACCUCGAGACGCCGAUGGAAACCCCCGAACUAGAGUCCGGAAGAGGAGAGUGGAAUUCCUGGUGUAGCGGUGAAAUGCGCAGAUAUCAGGAAGAACACCCGUGGCUAAGGCGGCUCUCUGGGACGGUACUGACGCUGAGACGCGAAAGCGUGGGGAGCGAACAGG